CGGCGAGUGAAGCGGCAACAGCUCAAAUUUGAAAUCUGGCGUUCUUGCGGGGGUCCGAGUUGUAAUUUGCAGAGGGUGCUUUGGCGUUGGCUGUGGUCUAAGUUCCUUGGAACAGGACGUCGCAGAGGGUGAGAAUCCCGUAUGUGGCCGCCAGUCUUCGCCGUGUAAAGCCCCUUCGACGAGUCGAGUUGUUUGGGAAUGCAGCUCUAAAUGGGAGGUAAAUUUCUUCUAAAGCUAAAUAUCUGCCAGAGACCGAUAGCGCACAAGUAGAGUGAUCGAAAGAUGAAAAGCACUUUGGAAAGAGAGUCAAAAAGCACGUGAAAUUGUUGAAAGGGAAGCGCUUGCAGUUAGACAUGCCUUUAGUUGCUCAGCCGGGCCUCUGGCCCGGUGCACUCUUCUUCAGGCAGGCCAGCAUCAGUCUGGGCGGUUGGAUAAAGGCCUAUUAAACGUGACUCCCCUCGGGGAGAGCUUAUAGGGUAGGCGCCAUGCGACCAGCCUGGACUGAGGUCCGCGCAUCUGCUAGGAUGCUGGCGUAAUGGCUGUAAGCGGCCCGUCUUGAAACACGGACCAAGGAGUCUAACAUCUAUGCGAGUGUUUGGGUGUCAAGCCCGGACGCGUAAUGAAAGUGAACGGAGGUGGGAUCCCUUCGGGGUGCACCAUCGACCGAUCCUGAUGUCUUCGGAUGGAUUUGAGUAAGAGCAUAGCUGUUGGGACCCGAAAGAUGGUGAACUAUGCCUGAAUAGGGUGAAGCCAGAGGAAACUCUGGUGGAGGCUCGCAGCGGUUCUGACGUGCAAAUCGAUCGUCAAAUUUGGGCAUAGGGGCGAAAGACUAAUCGAAC
RNAcentral lists this ribosomal RNA (839 nucleotides) under Neovaginatispora fuckelii. RNAcentral's name for it is "partial large subunit ribosomal RNA". It matches the Rfam family "Eukaryotic large subunit ribosomal RNA", at positions 87 to 940 of the family's 3401-position model. Lineage: Eukaryota; Fungi; Ascomycota; Dothideomycetes; Pleosporales; Lophiostomataceae. The record is from RNAcentral.